This 508-nucleotide ribosomal RNA is filed under the name Arthrobacter sp. RI4. RNAcentral's name for it is "bacterial SSU rRNA". It matches the Rfam family "Bacterial small subunit ribosomal RNA", at positions 74 to 596 of the family's 1533-position model. The record is from RNAcentral. Lineage: Bacteria; Bacillati; Actinomycetota; Actinomycetes; Micrococcales; Micrococcaceae.
CCCAGCUUGCUGGGUGGAUUAGUGGCGAACGGGUGAGUAACACGUGAGUAACCUGCCCCCGACUCUGGGAUAAGCCCGGGAAACUGGGUCUAAUACCGGAUAUGACCUCGCACCGCAUGGUGCGGGGUGGAAAGAUUUAUCGGUGGGGGAUGGACUCGCGGCCUAUCAGCUUGUUGGUGAGGUAAUGGCUCACCAAGGCGACGACGGGUAGCCGGCCUGAGAGGGUGACCGGCCACACUGGGACUGAGACACGGCCCAGACUCCUACGGGAGGCAGCAGUGGGGAAUAUUGCACAAUGGGCGAAAGCCUGAUGCAGCGACGCCGCGUGAGGGAUGACGGCCUUCGGGUUGUAAACCUCUUUCAGUAGGGAAGAAGCGAAAGUGACGGUACCUGCAGAAGAAGCGCCGGCUAACUACGUGCCAGCAGCCGCGGUAAUACGUAGGGCGCAAGCGUUAUCCGGAUUUAUUGGGCGUAAAGAGCUCGUAGGCGGUUUGUCGCGUCUGCCGUG